This is a long non-coding RNA of Ornithodoros turicata, 1080 nucleotides long. RefSeq lists it as uncharacterized. The record is from RefSeq and is a predicted model, not a curated record. NCBI's taxonomy places the organism in Eukaryota, Metazoa, Arthropoda, Arachnida, Ixodida, Argasidae. The transcript has 5 exons.
CCGUUCAAACUUGUUCGCUCAGUUGCUGGAGCUGACGCUCGCUUGUGUAGCGUUUCGAAGUUUAGUAAGUUUAUUUCUUGUCCAGCGUCGUGCGUAUGUUUUCUUGCAAUCUGUCGGUCAACUGGACAGUUCCGGCAUCCUGUCCAAUACGCAAUGAGCGAUAUCGUUAAGCGUGACAACAAGCGCUGCUGUAGCGGGGAGGCAACGUCCCUUAUUUGUUCUCUGUACUUCAGGUUUCAGGGGUGAGUUUGCUUUCUUUCUUGUCCUCUGCUUUCAGAUUUGUGCCUGCUUGUGUUCACAAUCGCAUGCAUGCGAUAGAGCUCUGGAGCACAGCAGCUGAAAAUGGUUUUCUUUCUCUGCAGAAUGAUGUUGCGAAUGAGUGACGAGCACAAUGGAGAUGUGGGACUGACCUAAAUGUAUUAACAAGAUUGUCGUUUGGUUACGUUCGAUGCUGUCUGUUCAGUGUACUGGCGACGAACAAUAUGGAGAUAUGGGACUGACGUGCUGGCAGAGUCAUGGAAUGAAGGUCACGAUUACUACGCCUGGCCUGAAAGCCAUUUGUUGGCACUUCAGCUGGGCUGGAGCUACGAUCACAUUUUAGUGAAAUAUGGGUGCAGUGACCAUUUUGCCACGGGCAGCAUGUUUAUGAUAGUUGCAUCUUUUUAAACAGUGCGUGUUCCAGGCUCAUGGAAUGGAGGUGACGAAUACAACGGCUGUCCUGUGGGUCAUUUGUUGGCACUUCGGCUUAGCUGCAGCAACGAUCCUAUUUCAGUGUACCUCGGAAACGUUCCUUCCUGCUACCCACAGCCGUCUACCACCCCACACGUGUGUAAAGUACUGGUUGCAUUUGGAGCACCCAAGCACGGACCCAGAGACAGAGGCAAUACUUACAGCUACCAGUGAUAUAAGUGCUGCGAUUUGUGUACAUGUACAUUACUAUCUGCUUUGGAAGAGUACCAAGAUUUGCUGGUAUGUGACUGUGCAAUAAGGGGAAGUGCUCACAAUGUCUGCUGACUUGUCGACAUGUUUGGAAGUCAGUGUUUGCCCGGUAUGUUCAUAGAAAUAAAUCUUGUACCAACA